This 225-nucleotide unclassified non-coding RNA is filed under the name Melitaea cinxia (Glanville fritillary). RNAcentral's name for it is "misc RNA ENSMCXG00005007705.1". The record is from RNAcentral. Lineage: Eukaryota; Metazoa; Arthropoda; Insecta; Lepidoptera; Nymphalidae.
GCAACUACGUGAAUGAAGCGGCGAAUAUAAGCUGUUCCGUGAACUGGCAUGAGCAGUCCAUGAAUACGUUGACCUACAUUUUGUUCCUGUUCGCCAUGGGCCAGAUCGUACCCUUGGCCAUCAUCACUUUUAGCUACGUUAACAUCAUCAGGACUAUGAAACGGGUAAAUAUAUAGAUCAUGUGUGCAACAUAGUAUAAAUAAAUAGAUCUUUCAACAUGUAAUG